Molecule: ribosomal RNA, 443 nt
Filed under: uncultured bacterium
Lineage: Bacteria
Description: partial 16S ribosomal RNA
Rfam family: Bacterial small subunit ribosomal RNA
Source: RNAcentral
CCUACGGGGGGCUGCAGUGGGGAAUAUUGGGCAAUGGGCGCAAGCCUGACCCAGCAACGCCGCGUGAAGGAAGAAGGCUUUCGGGUUGUAAACUUCUUUUCUCAGGGACGAAGCAAGUGACGGUACCUGAGGAAUAAGCUACGGCUAACUACGUGCCAGCAGCCGCGGUAAUACGUAGGGGGCAAGCGUUAUCCGGAUUUACUGGGUGUAAUGGGCGUGUAGGCGGGACUGCAAGUCAGAUGUGAAAACCAUGGGCUCAACCUAUGGCCUGCAUUUGAAACUGUAGUUCUUGAGUGCUGGAGAGGCAGACGGAAUUCCUAGUGUAGCGGUGAAAUGCGUAGAUAUUAGGAGGAACACCAGUGGCGAAGGCGGUCUGCUGGACAGCAACUGACGCUGAGGCGCGAAAGCGUGGGGAGCAAACAGGAUUAGAUACCCCGGUAGUC